RNAcentral lists this transfer RNA (111 nucleotides) under Perca fluviatilis (European perch). It matches the Rfam family "tRNA". From Rfam's summary of the family: Transfer RNA (tRNA) molecules are approximately 80 nucleotides in length. Their secondary structure includes four short double-helical elements and three loops (D, anti-codon, and T loops). Lineage: Eukaryota; Metazoa; Chordata; Actinopteri; Perciformes; Percidae. The record is from Rfam by way of RNAcentral.
GUCAGGAUGGCCGAAGCGGUCUAAGGCCCAGACUCAAGGUUAGACACCUUCCUGAGUUAAUGGACUUCUGGUCUCCAAAUGGAGGCGUGGGUUCAAAUCCAACUCCUGACA